This 492-nucleotide ribosomal RNA is filed under the name uncultured bacterium. Its description in RNAcentral is "partial 16S ribosomal RNA". It matches the Rfam family "Bacterial small subunit ribosomal RNA", at positions 29 to 507 of the family's 1533-position model. The record is from RNAcentral.
AGUGAACGCUGGCGGUAGGCCUAACACAUGCAAGUCGAACGGCAGCACAGUAAGAGCUUGCUCUUACGGGUGGCGAGUGGCGGACGGGUGAGGAAUACAUCGGAAUCUACUUUUUCGUGGGGGAUAACGUAGGGAAACUUACGCUAAUACCGCAUACGACCUACGGGUGAAAGCAGGGGAUCUUCGGACCUUUCGCGAUUGAAUGAGCCGAUGUCGGAUUAGCUAGUUGGCGGGGUAAAGGCCCACCAAGGCGACGAUCCGUAGCUGGUCUGAGAGGAUGAUCAGCCACACUGGAACUGAGACACGGUCCAGACUCCUACGGGAGGCAGCAGUGGGGAAUAUUGGACAAUGGGCGCAAGCCUGAUCCGGCCAUACCGCGUGGGUGAAGAAGGCCUUCGGGUUGUAAAGCCCUUUUGUUGGGAAAGAAAAGCAGCAGGUUAAUACCCCGCUGUUCUGACGGUACCCAAAGAAUAAGCACCGGCUAACUUCGUG